This is a non-coding RNA of Pelobates cultripes (western spadefoot toad), 287 nucleotides long. The record is from the annotation of a GenBank genome assembly. NCBI's taxonomy places the organism in Eukaryota, Metazoa, Chordata, Amphibia, Anura, Pelobatidae.
GUCCUGAAAGGGGUGUCCUGGUGACCUCCGGCCGUGGUGGGCGCGUGGUCCGAGUAUUGAGGGCUUGUUGCUUUGCCCAGAAGAAGCCUAUUCCGCCCCAUGACCACUGCCUUCUUCGCUACCACGGUCUAGAUAAGGGGGAUUGGGAGGUGCACUGCUUCAGCUUCUCCCAAAAGUGGCAGAGUAUGUCAUCCAGUUGCUCGUGCAGAGCUUGAGAGGAUGCAGGGUUCAAGGUGGAGGCCGCCAUUUUGCUGGGCCCAUCGCAAGAAGAGUGAGGGCUAUUAUGG